This 543-nucleotide ribosomal RNA is filed under the name Lactiplantibacillus plantarum. RNAcentral describes it as "bacterial SSU rRNA". It matches the Rfam family "Bacterial small subunit ribosomal RNA", at positions 8 to 516 of the family's 1533-position model. Lineage: Bacteria; Bacillati; Bacillota; Bacilli; Lactobacillales; Lactobacillaceae. The record is from RNAcentral.
AGAGUUUUAUCCUGGCUCAGGACGAACGCUGGCGGCGUGCCUAAUACAUGCAAGUCGAACGAACUCUGGUAUUGAUUGGUGCUUGCAUCAUGAUUUACAUUUGAGUGAGUGGCGAACUGGUGAGUAACACGUGGGAAACCUGCCCAGAAGCGGGGGAUAACACCUGGAAACAGAUGCUAAUACCGCAUAACAACUUGGACCGCAUGGUCCGAGUUUGAAAGAUGGCUUCGGCUAUCACUUUUGGAUGGUCCCGCGGCGUAUUAGCUAGAUGGUGGGGUAACGGCUCACCAUGGCAAUGAUACGUAGCCGACCUGAGAGGGUAAUCGGCCACAUUGGGACUGAGACACGGCCCAAACUCCUACGGGAGGCAGCAGUAGGGAAUCUUCCACAAUGGACGAAAGUCUGAUGGAGCAACGCCGCGUGAGUGAAGAAGGGUUUCGGCUCGUAAAACUCUGUUGUUAAAGAAGAACAUAUCUGAGAGUAACUGUUCAGGUAUUGACGGUAUUUAACCAGAAAGCCACGGCUAACUACGUGCCAGCAGCC